Long non-coding RNA from Bombus huntii, 3440 nucleotides. RefSeq lists it as uncharacterized. The record is from RefSeq and is a predicted model, not a curated record. NCBI's taxonomy places the organism in Eukaryota, Metazoa, Arthropoda, Insecta, Hymenoptera, Apidae. The transcript is spliced from 3 exons.
CUUUAACUUUGACAAGAUUCCUCACAGACUUUCAAGGUAACAAAUGUCAUUUAAUCAAAGUGUCUCCGUUACAAUUUAUGCUACAUAUGUGCAUUUCUUACAAUGAGUACCAUUCGAUUAUAUGUAGGUGGAACGUUUAUGAAACACAAUAGCAUGUCUGAAUAAAAUAAAACAAACGCUUUUACUUUAAAUUGAAGAAAUGAUUUAAAAAGAAAACAAACAAAAUACAAUGACUUUUAAUUAUAAGAAUAAGUAACUGAUGCUGUUAAAUAAUAUAUUUGAAUAUUUGUAGCUCAUAAUACAAAAUAUUGCAGACUUAUUAUAAUUAUGUACUUCAAUAUCAACUAAAAUGCGAAAGAAGAAAAGAAAAGGAAAUGAAUAAUUGUAUUUAAAAUGAAAAACUUAAGCACAAAUUGAAAAUGAGACAAUCCUGUUAAAAGCGUUGUUAAUGAAUGUCGUUUAAAAUCGUUAAGUAAUAUUAUCCACAUCUUUGUAUUGCCGAUGAAAAUCAAGUUUGAUUAAAAUAAUUAUUGUAAUACUUGACAAAUUCACUUUGAAGUGGGAUUUAUCUGUCAAUAAUCAAUAAGCACGAAGACACUCGUUAUUUAACUAGUAAAGCGGAAACAGUUAGCUACAAUUAAAGGAAGUAAUGGAACAGGUAAAUCUAUACCAAUAUUGAUAUUAUAUUAAUUUUUAAUAAAAAUGUACAUUUUAAUAUCAACAUUAAAUUCAUUGUAUCUACAACUUAUAAAAAGGGUUGCACGUUUUAAUUAAAAUUAAAAAAUCCAAUAAACAGAUACAAUGAUGUUAGAAUAUUAAAACGAUUCUCAUUCAAUAUUGUUAUUUGACGUCCGUAAUUUUUACAAACAAAUUUUACGACGACUAUACAAACAUUUUAUAAAGGUAAAACAUUGUCGCAAACUUUAAGAUCCGUUAUAGAUGCGAUAAUGUACAAUUAUAUCUGUGAUAUCUAUAAAUCCUUUAGAUAUUUAUAUUCUACAGAUACAUUGCUAGUAUAUCUUUUCUUUUUCAUUUUUAUACAGACAUAUUUUACUUUUUUUCGGAUACAUUUGAUAUAAAAGAUAUAUUUAUUACUCUACGUUUCCAUUAAAAGAUCUGUCAAAUAGUGGAAUCAUCCACUUGUAUGUCUACUUUUAACGCAAAAUGUAACAAAUUGCUUCUUUGAAUUUCAAAAACCAAAUAAAUUGAAGCUGUAUUUUUGGAUUUAAACAAUUUUAAAGAUUUAAAAAAAGAGAAUAAAAAUUCAUGAAUGUUGCGUAUCUAUGAAAAUUUGAGUAAACCUGACAAAUAAUUAGGAAAUUAUUGAAAUCUUUAAGAAUUAUUAUAUUACUUGAAACAAUAUCUAGUACACGUAUUAUAUUUAUUAUUACACAUAUUAUAUUCCGUACAUAGUUUCGUUCGAAUAGAAUAGAAUGCACUUUACCAGUCGAUCGUUAAUUUUGAUCUGAUCGAAACAUUAAAAUUGUUCUAUUUCGAAACUCGCAUUAGUAUGUAAAUGAGGAAUAAUUAUAGGAGUUGGCAGUAAAGCGAGUAAACAGACACGGUCUCCAGUCAUGCUCGACUCUCGUAACUGCUCGUAACACACGCUCGAGCGUUGGGAAUGCGGAACCGCAUCCGCUUGGGGCUUAUGUUAGACAGUUCAUAUACGGAAGUGUCAAUCGAAUCUGUAGACACGGUCGCCUUGACCGCGGCUGACGUCGCAGUUCAAUGCCGGUGUAACGCGACUUUUUUAUUAUUAUUAUUAAUAUUGCUGCGCGGUUGCAUAAUUUCACGGAUAGGAACAAGGAACUGGCAAACAACAGGAGGAAGAAAAAGAAACAACAUGAUGGACAUUGAGAAGUGCGUGGAAAUUGCAGGUAUAAGCGUGCAGCAAACUUUGAGAGGAAUUAUCGAUGAUAACAUGUUAAUUCUUUAAAUCAGUGAUGGCCCCUGCUGUGCUGAUAAGAAUUUCAUUUGUAGGAACACAAAGAACAAAAAACUUUCACAAAUGACAAUUUUACCUUCGUCCUAAAUCGAUUCAUUAUCGACAAAAUAGAUGUUUGCACGAGGCGUCAGGGAAACCGUCAUCAUUAAUCAAGAUACUAACUUAAUCCUAGAACUAUAGAGUGGCUCACACAAGUAUUGCAACAUCCAUAGAAACCUUUGUGUGUGUUUCUAUAACUAACAAUAAGUGUUCAGAUACUUUGGACAGUCACGUGGUAUUACAAUUGUAAGUAUGUUUCUCCUCUAUUUAGUGUUCCAACAUUAUAUUAUUAUUAUUCGAAUCAUUUAAAUGUAAAUCCAUAAUUAUCUCAAUGUGAAUUUAUAAUCGUUUCAAUAUAAAUUCAUAAUCAUUUCAAUGUGAAUUCAGAAUCAUUUAAAUGUAAAUUCAUAAUCGUUCAAUCUUUAAUUUGAAGCAAGCUGUACGCUAACUACGAAAAGUAACUGUAUAACAGUGUCGUUAUAAAUUGUUUCGAUGUACGCGUAUGCUUUCCAAAACAUGCCUCUCCGAUCUGAAGCGAAAUAUGCUACUGUACGAUAGACGUUAGGAACGUGCUGCAAGGACAUCGAUAAAUCACACUAGUCAUGAUUUAAAAACGUUAUGCUGUAGUACCGUGAAAUUAUAACAAAAGUACGUGUAAAUAACCAAUUACUCCAUGUCAUUACAAUAUACGGUAAAUGACAAUACGUGAAUGAUGCUGCUCCUCUGCAGUCGUCCUAUCGAGUAUAAGUGUACAAACAAAUUAGAAACAACGAACGUUGUAAAGCGUAAGGGUACCGAUUAAAAACAGGAAACCGACGUUCCACUAAUGAUUACACUGGUUAACAGCUGGAAUCUAUUCUAGGUCUAGUUCUAAUUUUGGCGUACCUUGUUAUGUCUCUAAUCGAGGAAUUUAAGCGAUAAACGAUAUAAAUGUCGAAAAAUAAAGAAACUCCUGUUGCUCAUUUCGGACAAAAUAAAACAUAAUUUGGAAUUUUAUUCUUCAAAUUCAAACAAGAUUUAUUACACCGCAACUGCUUGAAAAAUAAAAAACUCCUUGCAAAUCUGAAGCAUUCAAUUCUUUACAUGAAAAACUAACUUUCAUAUUCGUACAUAUUAGUGAUGCUUUAUUAUUUAUCUCAUAGCAAAGAUCACACACCUAUAUUUUAAUUCCGUUGAAUUCCGUAUUUAAAGAUUCCCCGAUAUUAAUAAAAAAUUGCGUCACCCAAGUAUGACGCUGUGAAUCAAUUUUAUUAUUUCACUACAUAGUUAAACGCGAAUCGCUUGAGGACUUAUCACGACGAUCACGAUUGAGUAACAUUUAUGAUUGUUCGUGCAUCGUAUAAGUAUAAAUGUAAAACGAGUGAUCUUGAACUUAUAAUUAACAGUGCCCUCGUACGAGUAUAAUUCGAAAACAUAAUGUGCAACAUGAUUUAUCACGCUGAUUAAACUCGUGGUA